GCCUGGAUGGCUCACUUGGUUAAGCAUCUGACUUCAGCUCAGGUCAUGAUCUCGCGGUUCGUUGGUUGGAGCCCCACUUCAGGCU
RNAcentral lists this transfer RNA (85 nucleotides) under Felis catus (domestic cat). It matches the Rfam family "tRNA". From Rfam's summary of the family: Transfer RNA (tRNA) molecules are approximately 80 nucleotides in length. Lineage: Eukaryota; Metazoa; Chordata; Mammalia; Carnivora; Felidae. The record is from Rfam by way of RNAcentral.